GAUGAACGCUGGCGGCGUGCCUAAUACAUGCAAGUCGAGCGAACAGACGAGGAGCUUACUCCUCUGACGUUAGCGGCGGACGGGUGAGUAACACGUGGAUAACCUACCUAUAAGACUGGGAUAACUCCGGGAAACCGGAGCUAAUACCGGAUAACAUGUUGAACCGCAUGGUUCAACAGUGAAAGACGGUCUUGCUGUCACUUAUAGAUGGAUCCGCGUCGCAUUAGCUAGUUGGUAAGGUAACGGCUUACCAAGGCAACGAUGCGUAGCCGACCUGAGAGGGUGAUCGGCCACACUGGAACUGAGACACGGUCCAGGCUCCUACGGGAGGCAGCAGUAGGGAAUCUUCCGCAAUGGGCGAAAGCCUGACGGAGCAACGCCGCGUGAGUGAAGAAGGUCUUCGGAUCGUAAAACUCUGUUAUUAGGGAAGAACAAAUGUGUAAGUAACUAUGCACGUCUUGACGGUACCUAAUCAGAAAGCCACGGCUAACUACGUG
RNAcentral lists this ribosomal RNA (497 nucleotides) under uncultured bacterium. Its description in RNAcentral is "partial 16S ribosomal RNA". It matches the Rfam family "Bacterial small subunit ribosomal RNA", at positions 28 to 507 of the family's 1533-position model. The record is from RNAcentral.